Molecule: transfer RNA, 61 nt
Filed under: Pseudoxenodon stejnegeri (Stejneger's bamboo snake)
Lineage: Eukaryota; Metazoa; Chordata; Lepidosauria; Squamata; Pseudoxenodontidae
Description: tRNA-Cys
Source: RNAcentral
GGCCCUGAGGUGUGAGAUCAUAUCAGAUUGCAAAUCUGAAGUAGGCAGUCGCCCAGGGCUU